This 250-nucleotide ribosomal RNA is filed under the name uncultured prokaryote. RNAcentral's name for it is "partial 16S rRNA". It matches the Rfam family "Bacterial small subunit ribosomal RNA", at positions 525 to 775 of the family's 1533-position model. The record is from RNAcentral.
ACGUAGGGGGCAAGCGUUGUCCGGAAUUACUGGGCGUAAAGCGCACGUAGGCGGUUUGUUAAGUCUGAGGUGAAAGGCCAUAGCUCAACCCUUGUAUGCCUUGCGAACUGGAAGACUUGAGUGCAGGAGAGGAAAGUGGAAUUCCCAGUGUAGCGGUGAAAUGCGCAGAUAUCAGGAGGAACACCAGUGGCGAAGGCGACUUUCUGGACGGUAACUGACGCUGAGGCGCGAAAGCGUGGGGAGCAAACAG